Molecule: long non-coding RNA, 841 nt
Organism: Apis dorsata (giant honeybee)
Lineage: Eukaryota; Metazoa; Arthropoda; Insecta; Hymenoptera; Apidae
Exons: 3
Source: RefSeq, a predicted model, not a curated record
AUAAAUAUUUUUAUCCUAUAUACAUAUAUUUAGUAUGAAAAGAAACGAGAAUUUUUAUGCGUGCCAUAUAUUGACCAUAAUUAAAUCCUAAUUGCUGAAGUUCGGUUUUGAUGCUGAAAAAAGAAAACUUGGAUCGUAUAAAUAACUAUAUACAUAAGGUAACAAGACAUUUCUUAUAAAACAACUAUGAAAAGAUAGUAACGUAAAGAUGCAUAGCAUACUUCUUGCACGUACUUAUAUACUAUGAAACGGCAAUAAAGAGGAAAGAGAAAGAAUGCAACGUAUCUGCUACGUGACCAAAUUAACAUUAAGUCCAAAAGAAACAGCUAUAUCGGAUUCAUGGACAGGAAAUUGAUUCGUAACUACGUAAAUCAAUUGAAACGCCCAUUUCUUCUCUUUUUAUUAUCGUAUAUUCUUGCGGUUGUCAUCAAGAAUUCGAAGAACCGCAGCGAAUCGUGAAAGCAGACACUGGUACGUGAUCGAAAUGCCAUAACUUUGGCACGAGAUCCAUGAAUACCAGCAAAAUUCGUGACGGAACUCGAAUACGUUAGUCGAACGACUCCUUGCGCUUAUCGCACAUUUAUGAAAUUCUGGUUCUUACUAGAUAUACCUGGUCAUAUGUUUUUUCAAUUAACACGCUCUAAUCCUGCUUGUUUAUUUGAGACGAAGAUGCUUCCAAUGAUUUUUGCAAACUAUAAUUUUUAGAUGAAUAUAGUCUAUAAAAUGUUGAACUACGAAAUGCAAGAUAUAGAAUAUGCAAAAGAUGAAAUGAGAUGGAGAUUAUAAGAGUAUUAAGAUUGUUUGAAAAUUCAUACGAUUACAUAAAAUGCACUUUUAUUAG